UCCAGACUCCUACGGGAGGCAGCAGUGGGGAAUAUUGCACAAUGGGCGAAAGCCUGAUGCAGCAACGCCGCGUGAAGGAAGAAGGGUUUCGGCUCGUAAACUUCUAUCAACAGGGACGAAAGAAAUGACGGUACCUGAAUAAGAAGCCCCGGCUAACUACGUGCCGGCAGCCGCGGUAAUACGUAGGGGGCGAGCGUUAUCCGGAUUCACUGGGUGUAAAGGGAGCGUAGACGGCCAUGCAAGCCAGGGGUGAAAGCCCGGGGCCCAACCCCGGGACUGCCCUUGGAACUGCAUGGCUGGAGUGCGGGAGGGGCAGGCGGAAUUCCUGGUGUAGCGGUGAAAUGCGUAGAUAUCAGGAGGAACACCGGCGGCGAAGGCGGCCUGCUGGACUGAAACUGACGUUGAGGCUCGAAAGCGUGGGGAGCAAACAGGAUUAGAUACCCCUGUAC
RNAcentral lists this ribosomal RNA (449 nucleotides) under uncultured bacterium. RNAcentral's name for it is "bacterial SSU rRNA". It matches the Rfam family "Bacterial small subunit ribosomal RNA", at positions 330 to 793 of the family's 1533-position model. The record is from RNAcentral.